UACGUAGGGAGCAAGCGUUGUCCGGAAUCAUUGGGCGUAAAGCGCGCGUAGGCGGCCUCAUAAGUCCGUUGUGAAAGUCAAAGGCUCAACCUUUGAAAGCCGAUGGAUACUGUGAGGCUAGAGUCCGGAAGAGGCGAGUGGAAUUCCUGGUGUAGCGGUGGAAUGCGCAGAUAUCGGGAGGAACACCAGUGGCGAAGGCGGCGACCUGGGCCAAUACUGACGCUGAGGUGCGAAAGCGUGGGGAGCAAACAGG
Molecule: ribosomal RNA, 253 nt
Filed under: uncultured bacterium
Lineage: Bacteria
Description: partial 16S ribosomal RNA
Rfam family: Bacterial small subunit ribosomal RNA
Source: RNAcentral